UUUUACUUUAUAACUUUGUGAUUUCACUUUACUAUCUAUGUUAAUUGUUGAGAUAUCCCUUAUCUCUUUAGGUUAUCUAUUGUAAGUGUUAUUAUAGGAAUACACUUCCUAAGUCUAAUAGGUAGAAGGUCUGAAAAACUAUCGGGUGACUUGAGGAACACACAGAAAUGUCUACUGCUUGGAGGUGGUGAAUAGCCCAGGUGGGUCGCUGGUUAGAGACGAGUCAGCCAGAGUUGGUGCCGGUGAAAAAGCUUGCUGUAUUCUCUCUCACACGCUGGCGCAUGCAAAUAGGGCAGAAAGACAAAAAUGGAGCAUGUGAAACACAAGCGCCUUCUCUGGUGACAGUAUUCUAUUGGGGACCUCACUGGCAUCUGGCGCUUCUUUCUAGGUGGGCGGUGACACCUAAAACUUCCCACCAAACUAGGAAGUGCUUCGAGGGUUGAGGAGCAGAGACUGUGAGCUAAGGGACUGGAACCUAGGCUCUGAUACCAUAAAAGAAUAGAAGGAAGAAGAAGGGAAUGAUUUGGGAGACGAAUAUAUAUACGUUAAAUUACAAAUAGGUAGUGUAUUCCUAUUAUUGUAACACUUACGUACAACAUAUAACCUAAAGAGAUGAGGGAUAUCUCAACAUUAAUAAAACAAGUACAAUUGCAUAGAAUCAACUUUUAUAAGGUAAAUAUCACAUUGUGGUUUGAUGUUCUAAUCCCAAAUUAAAGUUGCCUUUCUCCCUUCCAUUUAACUUGAAUGUCUAGAGCAGUGGCAAAGAAGUGCUUCUAGGUUUAGGACUAUUCGAUCUAUUAGAAAUUAUACAGGGAAGGGACUAAUUUAAACGAGAUGGAUGAAGAGGAAGAAGCAGUGUUUUGUGUGUGUGUUGAGCUAUGGAUGGUGGUGGUUGUUAUAUUCUGAACUCUUGCUUGCACUUGGCUUCUGUGAUAAAAAUAUGGCUUG
Molecule: unclassified non-coding RNA, 948 nt
Filed under: Hevea brasiliensis (rubber tree)
Lineage: Eukaryota; Viridiplantae; Streptophyta; Magnoliopsida; Malpighiales; Euphorbiaceae
Source: RNAcentral